AUGAACGCUGGCGGCGUGYUUAACACAUGCAAGUCGAACGGGGAACAUUUUAAAGAAGCUUCGGCAGAUUUAGUUUGUUCCUAGUGGCGGACGGGUGAGUAACGCGUGGGUAACCUGCCUCACACUGGGGGAUAACAGUCAGAAAUGACUGCUAAUACCGCAUAAGCGCACAGAGCUGCAUGGCUCAGUGUGAAAAACUCCGGUGGUGUGAGAUGGACCCGCGUUGGAUUAGCCAGUUGGCAGGGUAACGGCCUACCAAAGCGACGAUCCAUAGCCGGCCUGAGAGGGUGGACGGCCACAUUGGGACUGAGACACGGCCCAGACUCCUACGGGAGGCAGCAGUGGGGAAUAUUGCACAAUGGGGGAAACCCUGAUGCAGCGACGCCGCGUGAAGGAAGAAGUAUCUCGGUAUGUAAACUU
RNAcentral lists this ribosomal RNA (420 nucleotides) under uncultured bacterium. RNAcentral describes it as "bacterial SSU rRNA". It matches the Rfam family "Bacterial small subunit ribosomal RNA", at positions 29 to 432 of the family's 1533-position model. The record is from RNAcentral.